This 3212-nucleotide long non-coding RNA is filed under the name Homo sapiens (human). Its description in RNAcentral is "family with sequence similarity 66 member D". The record is from RNAcentral. Lineage: Eukaryota; Metazoa; Chordata; Mammalia; Primates; Hominidae.
GGUCUCCAGGGAGGACCUGAGUUUUCUUCACCCAUUGUCAGGGAGGCGCCAUCGCCCUGGCUUUGGGGCUGGGGCCUCCGGGGAGGUUCCGGUAGGGGCGUUGGAGAGGCCGCUCUUUUUGCAAGGCCCGAGACGGCGGGCCUUGCGCAGGCCGCCCUAUUCCGCGCCCUCAGGGCGUCAGUAUCAGCCUGAGGCUGGAUACCCCCGCUGGGCCCAGAUGCCCCCGCUGGGCCCGGAGCAUCCUCCGGCGCUGCCCUCCCAGAGCCACGCAGAGGCUGAGGUGGCGCGGGGGCGGCCCUGGCUCCGCGAGAAGCGGCGGCAGCGAGGGCUGGAGGACCCGGGCUGCGGGGCUCCGGGGCGUCUGGCCUGGGUGGGACUGAGCCCAUCCAGGGACUGGGACUCCGGGGUUCUGGUGUAGGUGGAUCCGGGGCAGGCUCAGGACCAAGUCCCUCUCCUUCCACCAAGGAGCGCCCAGAGGCCGGCGGGAGCUCCAGGUUCACCUCCUCCUCCUCCAGGAAAUCCCACUUCCAACUGGAUGUCUGGAUGAACUACUGAAAGCUGCUGAGUGUCCUGCAGCAGGUGAGCUGUGGCCAGAGCCCAAGGAUGAAGGGGGCUCCCUCACUCUGUGACUGUGAAGAGGAACCCUGAGGUGUAGCAGGCCCAGGCCCCAGAAGUAUGGAAAAAAUGAGGCCAUUUCCAAUCCAGCGGAAGACCUUCUAGAAGAGAUGAUGGUGGGAGAGUGCUGACAUACUAUGUGAAGCUACUAUUUGGAGUUGGACACGAGUGCAUGUGUCCUUGUGCCACAACGGGAAUCUUGACUACAACACAAAUGAAUCCACUCAAAUGUUGGCAAGUGGAGCAGAGUCCCAGAACAGGUAAGGCACUUUCCCUGCUUUUUCUUAAGAUCAAUCCUCAUGCCUACAAAUUAAAGUCACAUCCCACACGAUCAUUAAAGUAGAGAGUGCAUUCUGCAGGAUGAGUGAAAAGGCAUUUAUGAUUCUUGGGGGCAGAUGUUCUACAGUUGCCUGUGCUAGUUCAUGUCUUUCUGCAGAUCACAUUCUUAACCUCUAGAGAGUCUGGCAGGACCAGAGCCUUACCUUUCCCAGUCUGCAAUCUCUACAGGUACAGAAACACCCCCAGUUCAAGGAUCUUCACACCUGGAUUUAGGCCUACUCCUGCAACUACCCCAGGUAAGUUUCCUUGUUCUUCAAUGGCAAAGUUUGGACAAUGCUGUUCAAACUCCAGGCAACAAGCAACAUCUAGGGAAUGUGCUUUUAGGUAGGGUCAGCAUAAUAUCCCACCCUGGGAGACAUUUUUAUUUUAAAGUUGUAGAGGGUGUUGCUGCUGUCGGCUCCCUGCCAAUCAGCACCAUUUGCAGCCUCUUUUGAAGACAGAGAACUGAGGGCUGUCCUUCGAAUGGAGCAGUGUGAUUCCAAAAAAAGAGAUGCUCCUUGUGGUCCUGGGACCAGGGAUAGGACUCCAGUUGAGCCUGGUGGAAGAGGUCCUUGUCCUACCCCAACGGAGAGCCAUGCAGCUGAGCUUGGGCGAUGUGGUCCACGUGGUUGUUUCUGAGUGUGUCCUGAGGUUGCAGGAUGGCUUGCAGUUCCCUAUGCAGAUCCAAUGCAUCUUUUGCUUUUUUGCUUCUACAACCUGGAAUUUAUAUGUUCAAGAUGGAGCCAUCCCAGCCAUGACAACAGAGAAUGUACCACUCUCACUUGAGGAAGAGGGGUAGGCAGUGCUCCUGUAUCACCAGCCCUUAAUGAGACCCUGAGGAAACCACAUCAUGGAGAUCAGCCCUUCUCUCCUGUAAGGAACUCAUCCUAUGAAAGAGCAAUUAGUGCCUGCAAGAGCUGUCUCUGGGACAGCGGUUCAUGUCUAUAUCUGCAGGGUAACCCUCAUAGUCAUAUGCAGUCAUAUCCAUAGUCAUAUCGGGAGUCAGAUUCCAGUUUGACUGAGUGAGUGGAGAAACUAAACAUUUAUUACUGAAUAAUAACAUUAAUAAACCAUCUUAAUGAUAGUAAUAAUAAACAUAUUGAUGAGUAUUAACAGGAAUGAUGAUGAUUAUUAUGAUACUAAUAUCCAUAAUUAACAAUUUUAAUAUUGAUAAUAAUACAACCCUGUGGACUUGGGACCUAAACAGCAGUUUCCCCUUACAAUUAUCCCAUAUUUGGCCACAGGGGGUAAUGUUGAGUUCCAGAAGGCAAGGAUUAACAUUCAGAAAAUAGGAAAAACAACCUGCAGGUAAGCAUGUGCACACAUUGGGACUCUAUGGAUAAAUACUAAAGUGACUCUUGUUCUGGAUCUCCAUGCUAACAAACAUGCACCAGCUUUCAGGAGGUAGUACAGCUGGCUGAUGGGGCAAGGCUUCUUGAGGACAUGGCAGGAGUCAGAAAUCACACAUGCUGCCCAGCAGCAGAGCUCAUGACAAACAGUAAACCCCAGCGAAAGGACCUGGCUGCCCUUUCUGCCAUCUGCUCUCCCAUGACCUCUCUUGACUGGUACAUCUAGGCACUGGAAUAACCUUCACUGGCUAUAGGAGGGCAUAAUCCUCAGUAUUCUCCCACCUGCAAGAAAGACAAAAAUUAAUUGAAUACCAUGGCUUCUGGGUAUCCUUAGUGGGCUUAGCGUAUUUUGCAUUUGCUUUAACAGGCCAGUUAUCCAGGCAGUGACUUUCAGUGCAGCUACAGUCACCUCUGGAAACCUGUGGAGACUUUAAAAAUUUCCAAAAGGUCAGGAAUUUUUGGAGACCUUUCUCAUGGCUACGUUUCCUGCAAACGUGAAUCAAUAAGCUUCUGAACUGACUUAGAAAAUGUUGCAGAGACUCUUGUGAACAGAUAGACCCUCUCCUGCCACUCAGAUAGAUGUAUCUGGGUCACACACACCUGAUUUAACAUCUCAUUAUCUCAGGUGGGCAACAGACAGCAAUUUAGGACCUAUCCCAGUGUGGAUGAAAGACAUUGAGUUGGCUUAGAAAAAUGUUAGAUAGACUAGAUGGGGCAAGAAAGCCCAUUCUGGGGCUCAAAAGCCUUCACAUAGAGUUGCUGACACAUAAAGGGUAUGUAUAAAUUCUUUCUCAGACCAUGAGAUCAGGAUGUACUUCAUCAGUAUACCAUGCUGGUAUAAAGAGAUUCUUGCCUCCAAAGGGACUCAGAAUAUUUCAGGGAACCUGUAUUAGUCCAUUUUUACACUGUUGUAAAGACACUACCCCACAC